This 301-nucleotide ribosomal RNA is filed under the name uncultured bacterium. RNAcentral's name for it is "partial 16S ribosomal RNA". It matches the Rfam family "Bacterial small subunit ribosomal RNA", at positions 509 to 807 of the family's 1533-position model. The record is from RNAcentral.
CAGUAGCCGCGGGAAUACGUAGGUGGCAAGCGUUGUCCGGAAUUAUUGGGCGUAAAGGGCUCGCAGGCGGUUUCUUAAGUCUGAUGUGAAAGCCCCCAGCUCAACCGGGGAGGGUCAUUGGAAACUGGGAAACUUGAGUGCAGAAGAGGAGAGUGGGAUUCCACGUGUAGCGGUGAAAUGCGUAGAGAUGUGGAGGGACACCAGUGGCGAAGGCGACUCUCUGGUCUGUAACUGACGCUGAGGAGCGAAAGCGUGGGGAGCGAACAGGAUUAGAUACCCCCGUAGUCCCUGUCUCUUAUAC